GGGUUGUGAGGUUAAGCGACUAAGCGUACACGGUGGAUGCCCUGGCAGUCAGAGGCGAUGAAGGACGUGCUAAUCUGCGAAAAGCGUCGGUAAGGUGAUAUGAACCGUUAUAACCGGCGAUGUCCGAAUGGGGAAACCCAGUGUGAUUCGUCACACUAUCGUUAACUGAAUACAUAGGUUAACGAGGCGAACCGGGGGAACUGAAACAUCUAAGUACCCCGAGGAAAAGAAAUCAACCGAGAUUCCCCCAGUAGCGGCGAGCGAACGGGGANGCAGCCCAGAGUCUGAAUCAGCUUGUGUGUUAGUGGAACGGUCUGGAAAGUCCGACGGUACAGGGUGAUAGUCCCGUACACCAAAAUGCACAGGUUGUGAACUCGAAGAGUAGGGCGGGACACGUGGUAUCCUGUCUGAAUAUGGGGGGACCAUCCUCCAAGGCUAAAUACUCCUGACUGACCGAUAGUGAACCAGUACCGUGAGGGAAAGGCGNAAAAGAACCCCGGCGAGGGGAGUGAAAAAGAACCUGAAACCGUGUACGUACAAGCAGUGGGAGCACCUUCGGGUGUGNACUGCGUACCUUUUGU
Molecule: ribosomal RNA, 581 nt
Filed under: Klebsiella pneumoniae
Lineage: Bacteria; Pseudomonadati; Pseudomonadota; Gammaproteobacteria; Enterobacterales; Enterobacteriaceae
Description: bacterial LSU rRNA
Rfam family: Bacterial large subunit ribosomal RNA
Source: RNAcentral